GACGAACGCUGGCGGCGUGCUUAACACAUGCAAGUCGAACGGAAAGGCCCUGCUUGCCGGGUGCUCGAGUGGCGAACGGGUGAGUAACACGUGGGUGAUCUGCCCCUUACUUUGGGAUAAGCCUGGGAAACUGGGUCUAAUACUGGAUAGGACCAUGCUGUAGGUGGUGUGGUGGAAAGAGUAGUUUCGGUAAGGGAUGAGCUCGCGGCCUAUCAGCUUGUUGGUGGGGUAAUGGCCUACCAAGGCGUCGCCGGGUAGCCGGCCUGAGAGGGUGGGCGGCCACAUUCGGACUGAGAGGGGGGCCAGAAGCCUACGAGAGGCAGCAGUGGGGGAAAGGGUACAAUGGGCGCAAGCCUGAUGCAGCGACGCCGCGUGGGGGAUGACGGCCUUCGGGUUGUAAACGCCUUUCAGCCAUGACGAAGCCCUUGUGGUGACGGUAGUGGUAGAAGAAGCACCGGCUAACUACGUG
RNAcentral lists this ribosomal RNA (469 nucleotides) under uncultured bacterium. RNAcentral describes it as "partial 16S ribosomal RNA". It matches the Rfam family "Bacterial small subunit ribosomal RNA", at positions 28 to 507 of the family's 1533-position model. The record is from RNAcentral.